This 69-nucleotide transfer RNA is filed under the name Ictidomys tridecemlineatus (thirteen-lined ground squirrel). RNAcentral's name for it is "Spermophilus tridecemlineatus (thirteen-lined ground squirrel) tRNA". It matches the Rfam family "tRNA". From Rfam's summary of the family: Transfer RNA (tRNA) molecules are approximately 80 nucleotides in length. Their secondary structure includes four short double-helical elements and three loops (D, anti-codon, and T loops). The record is from Rfam by way of RNAcentral. Lineage: Eukaryota; Metazoa; Chordata; Mammalia; Rodentia; Sciuridae.
GGGAUUGUGGCUCAGAGGUAGAGCGCUCGCCUCGCACGCAGGGUGCACUGGGUUCAAUCCUCAGCACCA